Molecule: long non-coding RNA, 927 nt
Organism: Haliotis rubra (blacklip abalone)
Lineage: Eukaryota; Metazoa; Mollusca; Gastropoda; Lepetellida; Haliotidae
Exons: 2
Source: RefSeq, a predicted model, not a curated record
UUCAACCAUUUGCUCUACUAACUGAGAUUCGAUAGUGGUGACAAAAAUCUGUGCUUCUUCAAAAUUUCAAAGACAGGAACCAUUUUUCUCCCAUUAAAAUAUCAUGUAACAGUGAUUCAAUAUUUGUCUGUUCAUCUGCCAAAACUACAAUAUAUUCUGACACAGUUGGCGUCAGUGUUGUUGGUGUGUCAGCCCUCCUGCCCGUACUUGUCCUCCCCGAUCUGGUUUCGUCUGUCUUCAUACAUCUGUCUACGGGAUACACGUCUGUCGCACUAGUAUGGCUGUAGAAACGUUCUUCUAGUGGACGGUGACACUGCGUACACUCUCGACCUUUGUGUGAGCCGAGAUGUUUGCUGAGAGCAAACACUUGUAGUGUCACACCAGUUACAUGUAUCAUGUCUAGCCACCGCUACGUUGUUUGCUGAAGUUUGUGGUUGUGGACAACAGCUGAGACCCGGCUCAUCGUGUUUUAUACAGACAGAAAGUACAUUGUGUUGAUCCACAACAAACAACGAACCCGAAAUGGCAGCACCAUGGCCAGAGGGAAGACAUCAGGAGAAAGAUCAUCUUCAAGCACUACAUACGAAGGCUAAAAGGCACUGUUCCAACCGGCCUUCCGAUAGAGUCAACGGCCUUUACCGCAAUAAACCUGCUGAAUAUUUCAAGCAACUUGUAAAUAAAACCAUGUUGCCACGAAGGAAGGACAACGGCGGGGAUCCACGCUGUCCCAUAAACUGAAAGGUGUGUUCUUCGGGGUGACUCUUUGGAACGGAGGGCUACCAACCAUAUCACCAUACGGAAACACCAGAGUGGUGGUUUCCCUGAAAAGACUCUUUGAUGACUCUGCCAGGCUGUACUUCGCCGAUUUCUACUGUAUGUCAAGUCGAAGCGAUAAUCACUACAUCACAUUGGUCCUUACAAAGAAGG